Molecule: ribosomal RNA, 101 nt
Filed under: uncultured bacterium
Lineage: Bacteria
Description: partial 16S ribosomal RNA
Rfam family: Bacterial small subunit ribosomal RNA
Source: RNAcentral
UACACACCGCCCGUCACGUCAUGGGAGUCGGUAACACCUGAAGUCGGUGAGCUAACCCGCAAGGGAGGCAGCCGCCCAAGGUGGGACUGGCGACUGGGACG